UAAGGAAUAUUGCUCAAUGGGAGAAAUCCUGAAGCAGCAACGCCGCGUGGAGGAUGAAGGGUCUAUGACUUGUAAACUCCUGUAAAGAAGGAAAAAAUUCCCAUUAGAUGGGAGAUGAUGGUACUUCUGGAGUAAGCCCCGGCUAACUACGUGCAAGCAGCCGCGGUAAUACGAAGGGGGCAAGCGUUGUCCGGAUUUACUGGGUGUAAAGGGUGCUCAGGCGGAUUUGUAAGUCAGAGGUGAAAUCUUACAGCUUAACUGUGAAACUGCCUUUGAUACUGCAAACCUAGAGUAUGGAAGAGAGUGAUGGAAUAUCUGGUGUAGCAGUGAAAUGCGUAGAUAUCAGAUAGAACACCAAUGGCGAAGGCAGUCACUUGGGCCAUUACUGACGCUAAAGCACGAAAGCGUGGGUAGCAAACA
This 420-nucleotide ribosomal RNA is filed under the name uncultured bacterium. Its description in RNAcentral is "bacterial SSU rRNA". It matches the Rfam family "Bacterial small subunit ribosomal RNA", at positions 355 to 774 of the family's 1533-position model. The record is from RNAcentral.